RNAcentral lists this non-coding RNA (27 nucleotides) under Drosophila erecta. Lineage: Eukaryota; Metazoa; Arthropoda; Insecta; Diptera; Drosophilidae. RNAcentral also lists the same sequence under 1 other name. The record is from RNAcentral.
UCAGUAAGCCCCGUACUCUGUGGUGAC